This 468-nucleotide ribosomal RNA is filed under the name uncultured bacterium. Its description in RNAcentral is "partial 16S ribosomal RNA". It matches the Rfam family "Bacterial small subunit ribosomal RNA", at positions 28 to 507 of the family's 1533-position model. The record is from RNAcentral.
GACGAACGCUGGCGGCGUGCUUAACACAUGCAAGUCGAACGGAAAGGCCCUGCUUUUGUGGGGUGCUCGAGUGGCGAACGGGUGAGUAACACGUGAGUAACCUGCCCUUGACUUUGGGAUAACUUCAGGAAACUGGGGCUAAUACCGGAUAGGAGCUCCUGCUGCAUGGUGGGGGUUGGAAAGUUUCGGCGGUUGGGGAUGGACUCGCGGCUUAUCAGCUUGUUGGUGGGGUAGUGGCUUACCAAGGCUUUGACGGGUAGCCGGCCUGAGAGGGUGACCGGCCACAUUGGGACUGAGAUACGGCCCAGACUCCUAAGGGAGGCAGCAGUGGGGAAUAUUGCACAAUGGGCGGAAGCCUGAUGCAGCAACGCCGCGUGCGGGAUGACGGCCUUCGGGUUGUAAACCGCUUUCGCCUGGGACGAAGCGUGAGUGACGGUAAUGUGUAAAGAAGCACCGGCUAACUACGUG